AACCGGCAUCUGUAAUAUAUUAUA
Molecule: microRNA, 24 nt
Filed under: Oryza sativa (Asian cultivated rice)
Lineage: Eukaryota; Viridiplantae; Streptophyta; Magnoliopsida; Poales; Poaceae
Also listed under: 1 other name
Description: osa-miR1319a
Source: miRBase by way of RNAcentral